This 262-nucleotide ribosomal RNA is filed under the name uncultured bacterium. Its description in RNAcentral is "partial 16S ribosomal RNA". It matches the Rfam family "Bacterial small subunit ribosomal RNA", at positions 57 to 305 of the family's 1533-position model. The record is from RNAcentral.
GCAAGUCGAGCGGAAACGAGUUGUCUGAUCCUUCGGGGGACGAUAACGGCGUCGAGCGGCGGACGGGUGAGUAAUGCCUAGGAAAUUGCCCUGAUGUGGGGGAUAACCAUUGGAAACGAUGGCUAAUACCGCAUGAUGCCUACGGGCCAAAGAGGGGGACCUUCGGGCCUCUCGCGUCAGGAUAUGCCUAGGUGGGAUUAGCUAGUUGGUGAGGUAAUGGCUCACCAAGGCAACGAUCCCUAGCUGGUCUGAGAGGAUGAGC